RNAcentral lists this long non-coding RNA (2425 nucleotides) under Sus scrofa (pig). RNAcentral's name for it is "lncRNA (ENSSSCG00030056328.1)". The record is from RNAcentral. Lineage: Eukaryota; Metazoa; Chordata; Mammalia; Artiodactyla; Suidae.
UAGGAACUUCAGUUUCCGCACCUGUAAAAGAAGCUGGCAUUAUUGGCUGACACAGAUUGUGUCGGGUAAUCUUUUCUAUUCUCUUCUACCUGUUCUUUCUCUUUUUAAAACAAUGCUUAUUGCAUCCCAUUAUAUUGAUUUCUGGAUCCACUCCCAGGUCACAACAGCACUGAAAAAAAAUUCUCCAGGGCUUCUGACAUCCGUGUAACAGGCUGCCUCUGUAGGUCCGAGUCCUGCAGAGAAGGUUCAAGGCGAUCUCACGAUCCUCCUCCAAAUCAUCCCUUCCUCCCUCCGGAGAGGAUGACUUGGAAGUUUCCUGUCCCCUCUGGUCCAGGCCUGAGUUGGGGUGUGGGGCAGUGCAUGUAUGAAGGAGUAGGGUGAGGGGCUGGGCCAUACCUGGCUAGAGAGCAAUGCAUGAUCUCAUGCUGUAAGCUGGAGGGGCGUGUGGCAAUUAAAAGGAGAAUUUUGAAGGCGGGGGGAGGGGCGAGACUUAAAGGAGUAAACUUUUUAAUGAUGGGAUUUUAAGUAUCAGGCUGGGGAGAUGUUCGGCUGAGUGUAGGUGAGUAGGAGGAAAGUGGUUCUCAAGUCAGUCAACUCAUAAGGUUCCUGUGCUGUGUGCAGUUUGGGGGACUUGUGUCUGGAAUGUCAAAUCUCAGACUUGCGUUGGAAUCUCAGUUCAGGGCAGGGCAUCUCUGAACAAAUUGUGAAGUCUCUCAGCUAUUUUGAGGUCUGCAUCACAGGGGUUUUAGGUCUUCCAGAUGUUUGUGGGUCUCUGUCCUAGGGUGUGAAAUCUCUAAGUUGUUUGAGGGUCCUUGUCUUUGCAAGUGUAGGGUUUUGGUUUUUGUUCUUUCUUAAAGUUGAAUCUGACUUUUGGUUUUUGGCAUUUCUUGGACUGCGAAAGGGGCUUAAUGUUGUUUUCUGAGCUUGUGGAACGAUGUAUUUAAGCUUUAUAAGUUACUUUUUAUGUCCUUAGAUCUUUUUCCCUUUAAAAAUUAUUUUGAAAUCAUUUGACUUAGAAAAAAUUGCCGAAAUAGUGCAGAGCUCUUGUAUAACUUUUGCCCAGCUUCCCCUAAUCCUGGGAACCUCCAUAUGCUCCAGGUGCAGCCCUAAAAUGACAAAAGACAAAAAAGCAAAAGAGAUUUCUUUAUUAUUUUUUUUUAUUUUUAUGGCCGCACCUGCAGCAAAUGGGGUAGAAAUGAAGCUGCAGCUUGCCAGCCUGUGUCACAGCCACAGAAAAGUGGGAUCCGAGCCACAUCUGCAACCUACACUUCUGCUUGUGGCAGCAACACUGGGUCCUUAACCCACUGAGCGAGGCUGGGGAUGAAACCCAAAUCCUCACGGAGACUAUGUCAGGUCCUUAACCCACUGAGCCACAAUGGGAACUCUGAGAACGGAGAGAUUUGGAUGUGAAGCACUUAGGCCUUUAUAGAUGUAGGAAGGGUCCACGGACCAAGAAUGCAGGCAGCUCCAGAAACUGGAAAAGUCAAGAAAAUGGAUUCUCCGUGGAGUCUCCAGAAGGAAGACAGCUCUGUUUACACCUGAUUUUGUAUUGUAAGACCCAUUUUCAGGAGUUCCCAUUGUGGCUCAGUGGAAACGAAUCUGAUUAGGAACCAUGAGGUUGCGGGUUCGAUUCCUGGCCUCACUCAGUGGGUUAAGGAUCUGGCUUUGCCAUGAGCUGUGGUGUAGGUCGCAGACGCAGCUCGGAUCCUGCGGAUCCUGGGUUGCUGUGGCUGUGGUGUAGGCCAGCAGCUGUAGCUCUGAUUCAACCCCUAGCCUGGGAACCUCCAUAUGCCAUGGGUGCGGCCCUAAAAAGACAAAAGACACACAUACACACACAAAAUAAGACCCAUUUUCAGGUUUCUGAGCCACACAAAUAUAAUAUAAUGUAGAAAUACGUGUUUUUCAUGACACUAAGAUUGUGGUGAUUUGUUAGAACAGCAAUAAGAAACGAAACACAAGAGUUCUCGCUGUGGCACAGCAGGUUAAGGAUCCAACGUUGUCUCUGCCGUGGCUCGAGUUCAAUCCCUGGCCUGACACAGUGGGUUAAGGAUCCAGCACUGCCACAGCUGUGGUGUAGGUCACAGCUGUGGCUCGGAUACAGUCCCUGGCCUGGGAACACUUAUGUGCUGUGGGUGUGGUAAAAAAGAAAGAAAUGAAAUACAGUGUCCUGGGGAGUUCCCCAUGUGGCUCAGUGGUAAUGGACCCAACUAGUAUCCAUGAGGAUACAGGUUCGAUCCCUGCCUCGCUUAGUGGGUUGAGGAUCUGGCAUUGCCAUGAAUGAACUGUGGUGUAGGCUGCAGACGCAGCUCACAUCUGGCAUUGUUGUGGCUGUGGUGUACGCCGGGAGCUGUAGCUCUGAUUCGACCCCUAGCAUGGGAACUUCAUAUGCCAUAGGCGUAGCCCUAAAAAGAAAAAAAAAAAAAAA